AUUGAACGCUGGCGGCAUGCCUUACACAUGCAAGUCGAACGGUAACAGGGAGCUUGCCCCGCUGACGAGUGGCGAACGGGUGAGUAAUGUAUCGGAACGUACCAUUCAGUGGGGGAUAACGUAGCGAAAGUUACGCUAAUACCGCAUAUUCUGUGAGCAGGAAAGCAGGGGAUCGCAAGACCUUGCGCUGAUUGAGCGGCCGAUAUCAGAUUAGCUAGUUGGUGAGGUAAAGGCUCACCAAGGCGACGAUCUGUAGCGGGUCUGAGAGGAUGAUCCGCCACACUGGAACUGAGACACGGUCCAGACUCCUACGGGAGGCAGCAGUGGGGAAUUUUGGACAAUGGGGGCAACCCUGAUCCAGCCAUGCCGCGUGAGUGAAGAAGGCCUCGGUUGUAAGACUCUUCGUCCGGAAAAGUAACGACAUCAGUAUACCUGUGUGGAGUGAUGUACCGGAAGUAACGAAGACACCGGCGUAACUACGUACGCCACG
Molecule: ribosomal RNA, 490 nt
Filed under: uncultured bacterium
Lineage: Bacteria
Description: bacterial SSU rRNA
Rfam family: Bacterial small subunit ribosomal RNA
Source: RNAcentral